UGAACUAGCUACUGAAAUCAUAUUUGUGUCAAAUGUGAUGUCGUAAGGGAAAAUAUUGAUAUUACCUUACUAAUAGUGUCGUCCAAAACUGGUGCCAGAAGACUCGGUAAGGCCAGAGACGCAAACGUUAAUCGUCUUAAUCAGGCGUAAAGGGUUUGUAGGCAGCUUUGAAAAUAUUCAUUUAAUAUAGCCGUAGUAAAUUAAUACCAAUUAAAGAUAGAAUCAAAUAGAGGAUAGUUACCAAAUCAUGCUUAGAGGAGGGCUGAUAUCCUAAGAUACUAAGUGGAAUACUAGGAGCGUAAGCUUUUUAUCCAAUAAUGAUUGACGCUGAGAAACGAAGGUGAGGAUAGGAAAUAGGAUUAGAUACCCAGAUACCCCUCUCUGUCAACGAUGAAUGGUAGUUAUUAGUUUUAAAUUAGUGACGAUGUUAACGCGUUAACCAUUCCGCCUUGUGAGUACGACUGCAAAGUUGAAAAAAAAAUUAGUCGGUCUCGGAGCAAUCGAAGUG
Molecule: ribosomal RNA, 508 nt
Filed under: Xanthoporus syringae
Lineage: Eukaryota; Fungi; Basidiomycota; Agaricomycetes; Polyporales; Steccherinaceae
Description: mitochondrial SSU rRNA
Rfam family: Bacterial small subunit ribosomal RNA
Source: RNAcentral